RNAcentral lists this ribosomal RNA (613 nucleotides) under uncultured fungus. RNAcentral's name for it is "eukaryotic LSU rRNA". The stretch from base 226 to 379 matches the Rfam family "5.8S ribosomal RNA". Lineage: Eukaryota; Fungi. The record is from RNAcentral.
AGAGGAAGUAAAAGUCGUAACAAGGUUUCCGUAGGUGAGACCUGCGGAAGGAUCAUUAUUGAAUAUGGGUUGUUGCUGGCCUUUGAGGCAUGUGCACGCCUUUUAUUAUUUCUCCAACUUGUGCAUCAUAUUGGGACUGCUGUGCUUUAUGUUUAGUUCAGCUUUCCCUUUUUAUUAUCAUAAUCACAUUAAAAUGUUGAAUGUAUGAAAGAAACAAAAUAAUACAACUUUCAGCAACGGAUCUCUUGGCUCUCGCAUCGAUGAAGAACGCAGCGAAAUGCGAUAAGUAAUGUGAAUUGCAGAAUUCAGUGAAUCAUCGAAUCUUUGAACGCAUCUUGCGCUCCUUGGUAUUCCGAGGAGCAUGCCUGUUUGAGUGUCAUUAAAUUCUCAAACCAUGACUUUUUGUUGUGGCUUGGAUAGUUGGGUGUUGCCAGCUUUUUUUUAUUGCAGGCUCACCUUAAAUACAUAAGUGGUGCAUUUAGAAACUUGUUAGGUGUUGUAAAUUAUCAAUACAUCUAUGUUUCUCUGAAUAUACUGCUUCUAACAAACCUCAUUUGAUGAUUUUGACCUCAAAUCAGGUAGGACUACCCGCUGAACUUAAGCAUAUCAAUAA